This 4801-nucleotide unclassified non-coding RNA is filed under the name Haliotis rubra (blacklip abalone). RNAcentral describes it as "uncharacterized LOC124260757, transcript variant X1". Lineage: Eukaryota; Metazoa; Mollusca; Gastropoda; Lepetellida; Haliotidae. The record is from RNAcentral.
CUCUAUUGCCGAGCGCACAGUCAACAUUGCAGUCAUGUCACGAGUUUUGUCGUUGUGUGGGUAGAUCUCUCCUGAGCUGCUAUUCAGGAUGGAUUCAGACCCUGUGUUUCCCAAGUGUGUGGUGUGCAGCACCUCCUUCAGGUACAGAGGACCACAGCCGCACCUGCUUCCCUGUCUACAUCCUGUGUGUGAGGACUGUCUCAAGUCACCAGAAGUCACAACUCUGGACUGCUCUGUCUGCUUGAAGAGUCAUGAUAAAAAAUGUCGGGAGUUUCCCAAUUGACGAUGUUGUACUUGGUGACGUCCUCAACCAGACAAUGAAGCACAGACCGUCCGACUUCCAAUGUACCAACAAGGUGGAUGGAAACCAAGCAAUGUCUUGGUGUCAGGAAUGUGAGGAAUAUUUCUGCGAGCACUGUAAUUUAUCUCACUCAGAGGUGAAAACAACUAGGAAUCACGCAAUGAAGUGGAUUUCUGAUCUUCCAUGUACAUUGACAAGAUCAUAUUCCGACUGUGAGAAACACGGACAACGUUUGGACAUCUAUGAUAAAAACUGUGACUGUUUCAUCUGUUUGCAAUGCUUCUAUGAAGAUCAUGCCAGUAACAGUACCGACACAGCCGAUACGUUCUUGAGUCGUGAACAAGACGUCUUGAAGGUUUACAUAAAAUCUGUUUCAGAGAAGAAGGAAAAGAUCAUUUCAGCAAAAGAAACGGUUCUUGUACAAGCAAGAUGUAUUGACGAGAAGGCCGUUCCCCUCCGGGAUACAGUUCAACACACAUUUUCUGAGCUGAGAGAUGUGGUGAAUCAGCGAGAGAAGGAGGUGCUUGUGGAGCUAGAUCAGAUUUUAGACUCCAUGAAGAACAUUAAUGACAGUCGACGAAGAGUGCUGGCGUCAUCAGAGACAAGCUGCCAGACAGUCCUUGACUACAUCAACGAGAGUUUCCUCUACGCCUCACCUUCCCACCUCCACAAAGUGAAGAGUUCCAUCACACAGGCCUUUGAGUCUUGUAUAAAGGCUGACGUUCCAGCUGUUCACAAAUACGAACCGUGUGUCGUCUUCUCAGAGCAAGGUUUACCGGUUUUGAAAUCCUUAGUAUCAUCCUUUGGUGGUUUCAUGACUUCAGUUACCCAGACGGAAUCACCUAUGGAAGCAUCACUUAAAACAGGCCUUCAGAUGAAACUGGAAGCAGAUAUUGAUGAACUUCAGACACAGAACAGAGAGGCUCAGAGGCUAAUCAGUGCACUGGAAAAGGAAGCCUCUCAAAAUGAACAGAAGGUGAAGACUUUGCAGGAGGAUUUAUCCAGACUUCAGGGGAUCGUAAUUCAGUUGCAUCCCAUGGGCAACGACAAAGACACUUGGCUACAUGUGCUUGGUACAGUCAACAGAGCCCCACUUGUUGUUCUAUGUCCAAAGAUGAUGUUUGAUUCCGACAGAGUAAACCUGAACAGAACACACAUUAAUGACAAAGGCCUUCUCAUCAACACAAAACAUCCUCAAUGGAGAAGAGUGGGCACUAGUGGGAAGAUGUUGAAGAACUACUGCGGCACCUGCAGCAUCUCCCCACUGCCCUCUAGCGGCCUGGUGUACUGGGAGGUGGAGGCGGAUGUGGAACUGGACAAGCCUCUGGGUGAUCUAGAGCUUGUGUUGGAGGUCGGGGUGUGUGGAGAGGAUGUCAUGGACAGUAGUCAUUAUAUCGGCGGUCAGCCUAAUUCAUGCAGUCUGCACAUAUCAAAUGGUGAGAAUGAUGUGAUGAGGUCUAUAGCUAUUAAUGGAAAGAAUGCAGCAACAGCUAAAGUGUUUGAGAACAAGGCAGGGACAUCUGUGACAUUAAAGUACGGAGUUCUUGUUGAUACUGACAAGAUGGCGGUAUCCUUCCUGGACACCAACAAAAGAGAAGUGUUGGAAUCGGGGUGUAUUGUUGACAACGAGUCACAACGUGGUGCUGGAUACAACAAGAAUAUGUGGCCUGUAUUUGCGGUUUAUGAUAACUCAAUCAGAGUUGAAAUGAAACUCGUGAGUGGACCGGAUCUACAGAUGGAAGACUGGAAGAAGAAGCUUCUCGAAGACGCCAGCCAUAUGUGUGCUGUAGGGGAGCGAUACCGUGGCUACAAUCACUACUUCCGUGCUCAACGUUAACACUGGUAGACAUCACAAUCACAGGAAGUGCACCUGUUUUUUGGACAUUUGCCUAAAUGUUAAAUAUGUGCAGAGAUUAUACAUGACUGACUCAUGACGUUUUGUGCAUAAUUGGCAAAGAAAUCUUAUCUGCUGUUUUCGAGGAAAAUAGAACUUGCUACAGGGGAUUUGUUUGAAAGUAUAUUUAAUAAUCAAUUGAGUUGCUGUGGGUUUGGUUCAGGAUAUUAUUGUUUCUUUGUGAUUCGUUCUGUUAAUGAGGAUAGAAAUGUGAAUCUGUGCUGACUAUAAAUCUAUCUGACAUGUGAAUGCAUGAUCCUCAGCCCUCAAAAAGAAUUAAACAAAAUGAUAGAAAGAUAUAUAAUACGUUGGCUCGCAUAUGAUAAGUGUUAAUCGCAUGUUGAUCAUAUGAGUUGUGAUAAGUCACCUAAAGUCAAUAUCACAGCCUUAGAAUGCAUCUUGACCAAAACGUAUUGGUUUUGAAAUUAAUCGAAUGAAUAGUCAGUUGUAUAAUCAAACCAAGAUCCAGGUUGUAAUUGAUUCAAGAUAGUAACGGUUGCUAUCUCCAUGAAACCCUUUGUCCCUUGAUCCGUUUGACCAUUGAACACUUCUUGUAUCAUUUUGGCGUCGAUGGGGUAAUGAAACAAAUAUGAACAUGAAACAGACACCAAAAAUUUACAUUCGUGAGACAAGUCUGUUUUGAUGAGCCCAGGUUUUGUGUGACAGAUGUAGAACGUCGCUGGUUUAUUUGUUGAUUUACUUAUCUACUCUCUGAUAAUACAAAUGUAUAAGAGAGAAAAGGUGAGGAGAGAAGGUCGCAUAGACCUGGAGAGGAUUCCAGAAGAAGACAUUUUUAUAUAUCAGAGAUGAUAUAGCGGAAGAAGUCAAGGUUCGAAAUCUUCCUUCAAUCGGAAUACUUAUGUUCAACUUCUGAGUCAAGGCAGACGAUAUGAAUAGGAUUAGUUAUUCUAUUGUUAAUAAAAAAUGUUUGUUUGAUAUGGUUGAUAUUGUUGACGAUAGUUUUGUUAGAGCCGAUUGUUACCUUUGCUUUCGUUUCACUUUCACUUGACUGCCCAGGAAUCUUUUUGACAUUCUUUUUUUCAGUACUCACAAGGCCACGGGCCUAUAGCACAGUCCAUUAUAUAUACACAAUAUAAAACUUCAUGGAACAUAUACAUACUUACAUUUAACCAUACCCUGUGUAGUUAUUAAUUAAUUAAUUUAUUUAUUUAUUUUCAUUUAUCCAAUUAUUCCUGCAAGAAAAGGCACAAUAUAUAAAUACUGAUAAAUCCUUAAGUAUUUUUACAUUUGGGUUUGUUAACAACAGUGUAAAUUUAGUGGAGUUUGGGUAAUUAUCAUAAUAUGCUGGGAUAUAUUUUUCUCUAAAUGAUAAGUAUAAUGGACAAACAAGUAAAACGUGGUAUUCAUCCUCAAUCAAUUCUAAGUUACAUAGUUUGCAAAUUCUUUUAUCACGGUUGAUGUUUGUGUAACGGCCAGUUUUAACAAGGAGAUCAUGGGAUGAACAAAGGAUACGAGACAACGCUAUCCUAAUUUUUUUAACAGGUAUAUUGUAUUACUUAAGUAGUCUUCUGUACUGAAAUGAGUUUUGAAAAGUUUAUAGUAAAAGCACUUAUUUGAUGAAUCUUUUUGUUAUAGAUCAACGUUACGUUUUAAUUUAAUUUAUUGGAAAUUGAAGACGCCAUUAUUAUACUACGAAACCGUUGUUCCUGAUGUUGUAGGAUACGGCUUCUUUCUAAUAAGUUUAUAACUUAUGAAGCACGUGUAUCCCCAGUUAUUUUGCCUAUUUCUUCAUACUGAUGACAUGUGAAUCAUAUUCAUGCAAUAUAGCAGCAGCUCUAUAAACAUAGCUUGCUUGUAUUGUAGAUGUUGCAUUUUUCUAUUCGUACUUUUGUGUAAACAACCCCUUUUGCAGCGACACUUAAAAUAAGUUGUUUAACAAACUAUCAUUAAACUUUUUACACAGUUCACUAUUUGUUACGAGGGAGGAGUGCAAAGAAAGGAACAGCUUGGUGUACGUGAAGCAAAAUUUUAAUGAUAGUUUGUUAAACAACAUCUUUAUUUUUCGGACAUGAAUUCUGCCAAAAAUCACAGAGUUGGUCUGAUGUUUUGAUUAUGAUCAGUGUUUCACUGAGUAUUACAUGUGUAUUAGUUUUCGAGUUAGAUUGCAUUCAUCGGUCCGCUUUUGAGCCAAACGGACUAUAACAUAAUCCAACAUAAUUCACUUGAUUUCUGAAGAACUUAUUGCAAUUUGUGGAACCUAACCGUAAACACUGAUAAAAUCGAAGAUCCAUAUUUUCCGUGGUACUAAAAUUGAGAAAAGGAGGAAAUCUAUUUUGAGUAAUGUUUUUAUUUUUGUUUGUGUAUUGAUAUUGAUUGUGUUCAGAUCUGUUAAAUGUACGUUAACCCAUUUUGUGUAUAAGAUUUCACCCCAUCGCUUUAACACAACAGUAAAACAAUACUACUUUAUUGUCGUGAUACAUGUUAAACUGAUUGAAAAAGUUAAUAUACAGUUUCUUUGAGACAUAUUGUCAUUAAAGAUGGUACACCUUUACAUGUUUUAUGGUACACUUGCAGAUUACCAUUUCAUAUGUUGAUACAAUCGUGUUACGUUUCGAGAGAAAUUGUCAGUAAAAAGAAGAAACCAU